CAUCCUCAAAACCUUCUUGGUUUCUUGACCGGGGAAGGCUUUGGACUUUGGAGGCUUUUGCUGACCUUCCUUUGUUGGAGUCAGCUCCUCUGAAAUGGAUUAGUAGGGUCCGCUUUGCCUAUCCUUGACGUGAUAAGAUGUUUUCUACGUCUCGGGUUUCGCACUGUUUCCUGCUUCUAACCGUCUUGCAUUCAGGACAGAGUCAUGAA
Molecule: unclassified non-coding RNA, 209 nt
Filed under: uncultured Russula
Lineage: Eukaryota; Fungi; Basidiomycota; Agaricomycetes; Russulales; Russulaceae
Description: sequence contains ITS2
Source: RNAcentral